This 430-nucleotide ribosomal RNA is filed under the name uncultured bacterium. RNAcentral describes it as "bacterial SSU rRNA". It matches the Rfam family "Bacterial small subunit ribosomal RNA", at positions 354 to 796 of the family's 1533-position model. The record is from RNAcentral.
GUGGGGAAUAUUGCACAAUGGGCGCAAGCCUGAUGCAGCGACGCCGCGUGAGGGAUGACGGCCUUCGGGUUGUAAACCUCUUUCAGCACCGACGAAGCGCAAGUGACGGUAGGUGCAGAAGAAGGACCGGCCAACUACGUGCCAGCAGCCGCGGUAAUACGUAGGGUCCGAGCGUUGUCCGGAAUUACUGGGCGUAAAGAGCUCGUAGGUGGUUUGUCGCGUUGUCCGUGAAAUCCCACGGCUUAACUGUGGGCGUGCGGGCGAUACGGGCAGACUGGAGUACUGCAGGGGAGACUGGAAUUCCUGGUGUAGCGGUGGAAUGCGCAGAUAUCAGGAGGAACACCGGUGGCGAAGGCGGGUCUCUGGGCAGUAACUGACGCUGAGGAGCGAAAGCGUGGGGAGCGAACAGGAUUAGAUACCCCGGUAGUCC